UACAGAGGUCCCAAGCGUUGUUCGGAUUCAUUGGGCGUAAAGGGUGCGUAGGCGGCGCGGUAAGUCGGGUGUGAAAUCUCGGAGCUUAACUCCGAAACUGCAUUCGAUACUGCCGUGCUUGAGGACUGGAUAUGAGACUGGAAUUUACGGUGUAGCGGUGAAAUGCGUAGAUAUCGUAAGGAAGACCAGUGGCGAAGGCGGGUCUCUGGACAGUUCCUGACGCUGAGGCACGAAGGCCAGGGGAGCAAACGGG
RNAcentral lists this ribosomal RNA (253 nucleotides) under uncultured bacterium. RNAcentral describes it as "partial 16S ribosomal RNA". It matches the Rfam family "Bacterial small subunit ribosomal RNA", at positions 524 to 776 of the family's 1533-position model. The record is from RNAcentral.